Molecule: long non-coding RNA, 839 nt
Filed under: Capra hircus (goat)
Lineage: Eukaryota; Metazoa; Chordata; Mammalia; Artiodactyla; Bovidae
Description: lncRNA (ENSCHIG00000002019.1)
Source: RNAcentral
CAUAGAUACACGUAUAUCUUGAAUCUACAUGUAUAUCUACACAUCUCUAUCUGUAGUAGUGAACAGAGAUUAUGCCUCAUUCAUAAUUUAGUCUUCAGCAUCUAGCAGCUGCUCUAUUGAUGUUAUAUGUGAGGAUAGAAUGGCUUAAAUGCUUGGUGGUACAUGUGCCUGAAGCUCCUUUCCUUGUACUGGGGCUUUUCUAAUCUGUCUGUAUUCUUGCUCUAGGUCCCUGCUGUGACCAUUAGACCACUUGGGAAUAAGUGUGUGGCUUUGGAGCUAAGAAAGAUCGAAAUAACUUGGACCCUUAAUACAGAGCCUGGCCCAGACACACGGCUGCUCCUUCUGUUAUGCACAUGUUCAGGCUGGGCCCCAGGAAAUCAGCAAGCAGCCCACGUAGCUGAGAACAGCCAGGCAACCCCUCCUGACCUGAGAUUACUGCUAAUGAUAAGAGCUGGAAACACAGCUCCGUGCACGCGAGGAAGGGCCGCUCGACCCCCUGAGGUGAGUGAUGUACUUCAUCUUUUGGGAUUUUUCCACAAUAGAUGUAUUUUUAGCAAGAAAAGAUUUAAAAUCCCAGCAACUCAGUACAACCUCUUUUGCUUAAAGCACAUUCCUCUUCAGGAGAGAGUUGACCAAAGGAGGUAAUGUCACUUUGGCAGAAGUCACCCAAGAGUCCUGACCCUAGCAGGUAAGUCUCUGGGGACCCAAGAGUCCUGACCCUAGCAGGUAAGUCUCUGGGGACCCCUCUGAAAGAGGAGUGUUCUAUUCUCAUGAGUCCUUCAAGCAUUUAUUGUGUCUUUUUUUCCCUUCCAGUUUUAUUGAGCUGUAAUUGACACACA